UUUCCGUAGGUGAACCUGCGGAAGGAUCAUUAUCAAAAGUCAAGUCGGGGGCUGUAAAGCUCUCGUCUACACCCAUGUCUUUUGCGUACUCUUGUUUCCUCGGUGGCGCAAGCUGCCGAUUGGACAAACCAAAACCUUUUUUGUACCAUCUGAGUCUUCCACAAAUAAACAAAACUUUCAACAACGGAUCUCUUGGUUCUG
RNAcentral lists this unclassified non-coding RNA (201 nucleotides) under root metagenome. RNAcentral describes it as "partial contains small subunit ribosomal RNA, internal transcribed spacer 1, and 5.8S ribosomal RNA". The record is from RNAcentral.